CGGAGCAUUUUACGAGGUGCUGCAUGGUUGUCGUCAGCUCGUGCCGUGAGGUGUCGGGUUAAGUCCCAUAACGAGCGCAACCCCUACCUUUAGUUGCCAUCAGGUUAAGCUGGGGACGUCUAAAGGAACUGCCUACGCAAGUAGUGAGGAAGGCGGGGAUGACGUCAAAUCAGCACGGCCCUUACGUCCAGGGCUACACACGUGCUACAAUGGCCGGUACAGAGUGAAGCGAAACCGCGAGGUGAAGCAAAACGCAGAAAGCCGGUCUCAGUACGGAUUGGAGUCUGAAACUCGACUUCAUGAAGUUGGAAUCGCUAGUAAUCGCGCAUCAGCAUGGCGCGGUGAAUACGUUCCCGGGCCUU
This 362-nucleotide ribosomal RNA is filed under the name uncultured Spirochaeta sp. RNAcentral describes it as "bacterial SSU rRNA". It matches the Rfam family "Bacterial small subunit ribosomal RNA", at positions 1022 to 1382 of the family's 1533-position model. The record is from RNAcentral. Lineage: Bacteria; Pseudomonadati; Spirochaetota; Spirochaetia; Spirochaetales; Spirochaetaceae.